This 520-nucleotide ribosomal RNA is filed under the name uncultured Glomus. RNAcentral describes it as "SSU rRNA". It matches the Rfam family "Eukaryotic small subunit ribosomal RNA", at positions 569 to 1089 of the family's 1831-position model. Lineage: Eukaryota; Fungi; Glomeromycota; Glomeromycetes; Glomerales; Glomeraceae. The record is from RNAcentral.
AGCAGCCGCGGUAAUUCCAGCUCCAAUAGCGUAUAUUAAAGUUGUUGCAGUUAAAAAGCUCGUAGUUGAAUUUCGGGAUCAAUAUAUCGGUCGUGCCAUUGGUACGUACUGGUAUCAUUGGUUUCUCCUUCCUGACGAACCAUGAUGUCAUUAAUUUGGUGUUAUGGGAAGUUAGGACUGUUACUUUGAAAAAAUUAGAGUGUUUAAAGCAGGCUUUAGCUUGAAUACAUUAGCAUGGAAUAAUGAAAUAGGACGUUCGAACCUAUUUUGUUGGUUUCUAGGAUCAACGUAAUGAUUAAUAGGGAUAGUUGGGGGCAUUAGUAUUCAAUUGUCAGAGGUGAAAUUCUUGGAUUUAUUGAAGACUAACUACUGCGAAAGCAUUUGCCAAGGAUGUUUUCAUUAAUCAAGAACGAAAGUUAGGGGAUCGAAGACGAUCAGAUACCGUCGUAGUCUUAACCAUAAACUAUGCCGACUAGGGAUCGGAUGAUGUUAAUUUUUUCAAUGACUCAUUCGGCGCCUU